CGAGGCGUAGCUCAGAGGUCAGAGCCUUGGGUCGCAGGUUCGAAUCCUGCCGCCUCUC
RNAcentral lists this transfer RNA (58 nucleotides) under Humibacter ginsenosidimutans. It matches the Rfam family "tRNA". From Rfam's summary of the family: Transfer RNA (tRNA) molecules are approximately 80 nucleotides in length. Their secondary structure includes four short double-helical elements and three loops (D, anti-codon, and T loops). Lineage: Bacteria; Bacillati; Actinomycetota; Actinomycetes; Micrococcales; Microbacteriaceae. The record is from Rfam by way of RNAcentral.